UACCUUUCAUUACAAUUAUAAACGGACGGAUGGGUUUAAAAGGUAACUUAAGUUGUCAGCUAGUUAUACUAGCGGACUGGAUUAUACAAAUAUUUGGGCAAUUAUACCCCCAAUCAAGCUAAGUUAAAAAAUUCAUUGCGUCCGCUACAAAUUCUUGUUUCAGUUCAACUCCCCUCCGCCGGACCGACAAUGACUACUCUCUUACUCUGUUCAAUCGCUGACGGCGGUCAUCCCUUAGCUCUCUCUACUUUCUCUAACUCUUCAAUUUUUAUUUUCAGUCCUAAGAGCAAAAAACUGAGGAGAAGAAGAGCGACGCCACUAAUGGCGGCGCGAGUGGAAGUUACACGCAUCUCUU
Molecule: long non-coding RNA, 355 nt
Filed under: Panax ginseng (ginseng)
Lineage: Eukaryota; Viridiplantae; Streptophyta; Magnoliopsida; Apiales; Araliaceae
Description: long non-coding RNA (PGIN_LNC016313)
Source: RNAcentral